CCUACGGGUGGCAGCAGUGAGGAAUAUUGGUCAAUGGGCGCGAGCCUGAACCAGCCAAGCAGCGUGAAGGAUGAAGGUCCUACGGGUUGUAAACUUCUUUUGUGCGGGAGCAAAAAUGGUCACGAGUGGCCAGACGAGAGUACCGUACGAAUAAGCAUCGGCUAACUCCGUGCCAGCAGCCGCGGUAAUACGGGGGAUGCAAGCGUUAUCCGGAUUUAUUGGGUUUAAAGGGUGCGUAGGCUGUGAGGUAAGUCAGCGGUGAAAUGCCGCCGCUCAACGGGGUGAAGUGCCAUUGAUACUGGCUUGCUGGAAUGCGAAUGCCGUUGGAGGAAUGCGUGGUGUAGCGGUGAAAUGCAUAGAUAUCACACAGAAUACCGAUUGCGAAGGCAUCUCACGGAUCCGCGAUUGACGCUGAUGCACGAAAGCGUGGGUAUCAAACAGGAUUAGAUACCCCGGUAGUC
RNAcentral lists this ribosomal RNA (461 nucleotides) under uncultured bacterium. Its description in RNAcentral is "partial 16S ribosomal RNA". It matches the Rfam family "Bacterial small subunit ribosomal RNA", at positions 338 to 795 of the family's 1533-position model. The record is from RNAcentral.